GACGAACGCUGGCGGCGUGCCUAAUACAUGCAAGUAGAACGCUGAAGGGAGAGCUUGCUCUUCUUGGAUGAGUUGCGAACGGGUGAGUAACGCGUAGGUAACCUGCCUUGUAGCGGGGGAUAACUAUUGGAAACGAUAGCUAAUACCGCAUAACAAUAGGUGACACAUGUCAUUUAUUUGAAAGGGGCAAUUGCUCCACUACAAGAUGGACCUGCGUUGUAUUAGCUAGUAGGUGAGGUAACGGCUCACCUAGGCGACGAUACAUAGCCGACCUGAGAGGGUGAUCGGCCACACUGGGACUGAGACACGGCCCAGACUCCUACGGAAGGCAGCAGUAGGGAAUCUUCGGCAAUGGGGGCAACCCUGACCGAGCAACGCCGCGUGAGUGAAGAAGGUUUUCGGAUCGUAAAGCUCUGUUGUAAGUCAAGAACGAGUGUGAGAGUGGAAAGUUCACACUGUGACGGUAGCUUACCAGAAAGGGACGGCUAACUACGUGCCAGCAGCCGCGGUAAUACGUAGGUCCCGAGCGUUGUCCGGAUUUAUUGGGCGUAAAGCGAGCGCAGGCGGUUUGAUAAGUCUGAAGUUAAAGGCUGUGGCUCAACCAUAGUUCGCUUUGGAAACUGUCAAACUUGAGUGCAGAAGGGGAGAGUGGAAUUCCAUGUGUAGCGGUGAAAUGCGUAGAUAUAUGGAGGAACACCGGUGGCGAAAGCGGCUCUCUGGUCUGUAACUGACGCUGAGGCUCGAAAGCGUGGGGAGCGAACAGGAUUAGAUACCCUGGUAGUCCACGCCGUAAACGAUGAGUGCUAGGUGUUGGAUCCUUUCCGGGAUUCAGUGCCGCAGCUAACGCAUUAAGCACUCCGCCUGGGGAGUACGACCGCAAGGUUGAAACUCAAAGGAAUUGACGGGGGCCCGCACAAGCGGUGGAGCAUGUGGUUUAAUUCGAAGCAACGCGAAGAACCUUACCAGGUCUUGACAUCCCGAUGCUAUUUCUAGAGAUAGAAAGUUACUUCGGUACAUCGGUGACAGGUGGUGCAUGGUUGUCGUCAGCUCGUGUCGUGAGAUGUUGGGUUAAGUCCCGCAACGAGCGCAACCCCUAUUGUUAGUUGCCAUCAUUCAGUUGGGCACUCUAGCGAGACUGCCGGUAAUAAACCGGAGGAAGGUGGGGAUGACGUCAAAUCAUCAUGCCCCUUAUGACCUGGGCUACACACGUGCUACAAUGGUUGGUACAACGAGUUGCGAGUCGGUGACGGCAAGCUAAUCUCUUAAAGCCAAUCUCAGUUCGGAUUGUAGGCUGCAACUCGCCUACAUGAAGUCGGAAUCGCUAGUAAUCGCGGAUCAGCACGCCGCGGUGAAUACGUUCCCGGGCCUUGUACACACCGCCCGUCACGCCACGAGAGUUUGUAACACCCGAAGUCGGUGAGGUAACCUUUUGGAGCCAGCCGCCUAAGGUGGGAUAGAUGAUUGGGGUGAAGUCGUAACAAGGUAGCCGUAUCGGAAGG
Molecule: ribosomal RNA, 1499 nt
Filed under: uncultured bacterium
Lineage: Bacteria
Description: bacterial SSU rRNA
Rfam family: Bacterial small subunit ribosomal RNA
Source: RNAcentral